GACGAACGCUGGCGGCGUGCCUAAUACAUGCAAGUCGAGCGAACAUUUGAGAGCUUGCUCUCAAAUGUUAGCGGCGGACGGGUGAGUAACACGUGGGCAACCUGCCUAUAAGACUGGGAUAACUUCGGGAAACCGGAGCUAAUACCGGAUAAUUCACAUCUACUCAUGUAGAUGUGCUGAAAGACGGUUUACGCUGUCACUUAUAGAUGGGCCCGCGGCGCAUUAGCUAGUUGGUGAGGUAACGGCUCACCAAGGCCACGAUGCGUAGCCGACCUGAGAGGGUGAUCGGCCACACUGGGACUGAGACACGGCCCAGACUCCUACGGGAGGCAGCAGUAGGGAAUCUUCCGCAAUGG
RNAcentral lists this ribosomal RNA (356 nucleotides) under uncultured bacterium. RNAcentral describes it as "bacterial SSU rRNA". It matches the Rfam family "Bacterial small subunit ribosomal RNA", at positions 28 to 374 of the family's 1533-position model. The record is from RNAcentral.